AUGUAUUGAGAGUGUGUUUCAGCGAAAGUAUUUAAGAUAUGUCCAAUGGGCAAUAUAAUUUGUCAGCAAACAUCAGACUUUUGUAUUCUAAGCGGAAACUGUAGGUGAUGUAAAAAAAGUAUGUAUGGGACUUUUACUCAGUAGCACUUAAAUAUCUUGGAAAACUAGAAAUGGUUCGUGGAAAUUUCAAUUCGAGGCUUAAUUUUGUGGUCUGUGUAAUUUCAACUUCAGAACGCUUUAUUUGACUUUUAUCUGUACAGGAGACAUAGUAUUUGGCACUCUGCUAAAAUAAACUUACGCUGCGCAAGAAGCUUAAGAAUAUACAUGCCAAAAGCCAACUUUCAAGCUUUUAUAGUUUCAGAUAUUUCAGCGUUCAUACGGACAGAUAUUAAAUAAAUAGAGACGUACACUGAAAUAUCCAGAUAUCGUUAAUUCGGAAACUCAAUGGUCGUUGACAAGUACAAGGUUUCUGAAGCUAGCACGAGAUAGAGUAAAGGAAAAUUACAGCCUCAAAGUGCUAAACGAAUUGAAAAAGGAUUUAAUUGACGACGAUCUACUUAAUAUUGGAACUCGUACAAUUUUACAUGCCACCCUAAAAGCAAAAGCUCGUAAAGUGGUUACAAAGGCGAAAAAUAAGAAACUAACAAUUCAAGACGCCCGACAAAGCUUUUAUUUUCACCUUGCAUCAUCCGCCGAGAUGUAGACUAGAGCUGGGAAACUAUAGAUGGCACUAUCCACGUAUCGAAUGUUUAACUUUCUCGGCCACCAUCGAUAGUUUAUAGUCGCUAUCGAUGGUGCUGGAUUAGCGUUAAUUGGACGUUGGUUAUGGCUCUAAGCAUUGAUAAAUAUAUAGUGAAUUUGAAAAGAAAA
Drosophila suzukii is the source of this 870-nucleotide non-coding RNA. The record is from RefSeq and is a predicted model, not a curated record. NCBI's taxonomy places the organism in Eukaryota, Metazoa, Arthropoda, Insecta, Diptera, Drosophilidae.